Molecule: ribosomal RNA, 349 nt
Filed under: uncultured bacterium
Lineage: Bacteria
Description: partial 16S ribosomal RNA
Rfam family: Bacterial small subunit ribosomal RNA
Source: RNAcentral
CCUACGGGUUGCAGCAGUGAGGAAUAUUGGUCAAUGGGCGCGAGCCUGAACCAGCCAAGUAGCGUGAAGGAUGCCUGCCCUACGGGUUGUCAACUUCUUUUAUAAAAGAAUAAAGUGAGGUACGUGUGCCUUUUUGUAUGUACUUUAUGAAUAAGGAUCGUCUAACUCCGUGCCAGCAGCAGCGGUAAUAAGGAGGAUCGGAGCGUUAGCCGGAGUGAUUGGGUUUAAAGGGAGGGUAGAUGGGUUGUUAAGUCAGUUGUGAAAGUUUGGUGCUCAACCGUAAAAUUGCAAUUGAUACUAGCAGCCUUGCGUUCAGUUGCGGUAGGCGUCAUUCGUGCUGUAGCUGUCA